Molecule: long non-coding RNA, 235 nt
Organism: Micropterus dolomieu (smallmouth bass)
Lineage: Eukaryota; Metazoa; Chordata; Actinopteri; Centrarchiformes; Centrarchidae
Exons: 4
Source: RefSeq, a predicted model, not a curated record
GUUUGUGGGAGUUGCAGCUCUCUUAAUAACUGUUGUUAUUGUUGUUGCUCUCAUCAGAUGGAAGAAAACUAAAGGAAAAAAACCCCAGAUGGAUGAAAACACUGGACGGAGCUUAAACCCUGCAGUGAGUCCAGAAAGCAGUCAGGACACGGCUGAUCCUGAAGAUGGUGUUUCCUACGCCUCCAUCAGCUACACCAGGAAGACCAACAGUAAAGGCCGGGUAAGCUGUCUGAUU